Molecule: unclassified non-coding RNA, 378 nt
Filed under: plant metagenome
Description: partial contains 5.8S ribosomal RNA, internal transcribed spacer 2, and large subunit ribosomal RNA
Rfam family: 5.8S ribosomal RNA (bases 1-105)
Source: RNAcentral
GAAAUGCGAUAAGUAAUGUGAAUUGCAGAAUUCAGUGAAUCAUCGAAUCUUUGAACGCACCUUGCGCUCCUUGGUAUUCCUUGGAGCAUGCCUGUUUGAGUAUCAUGAAAUCUUCAAAGUAAAUCUUUUGUUAACUCAAUUGGUUUCUACUUUGGUAUUGGAGGUCUUUGCAGCUUCACACCUGCUCCUCUUUGUUCAUUAGCUGGAUCUCAGUGUUAUGCUUGGUUCCACUCGGCGUGAUAAGUUAUCUAUCGCUGAGGACACUGUAAAAGGUGGCCAAGGUAAAUGCAGAUGAACCGCUUCUAAUAGUCCAUUGACUUGGACAAUACUUUAAUGAUCUGAUCUCAAAUCAGGUAGGACUACCCGCUGAACUUAAGC